UAGUGAGUUUGAUCCUGGCUCAGAUUGAACGCUGGCGGCAUGCUUUACACAUGCAAGUCGAACGGCAGCACGGGCUUCGGCCUGGUGCGAGUGGCGAACGGGUGAGUAAUAUAUCGGAACGUACCCAAGAGUGGGGAUAACGUAGCGAAAGUUACGCUAAUACCGCAUACGAUCCAAGGAUGAAAGCAGGGGACCGCAAGGCCUUGUGCUCCUGGAGCGGCCGAUAUCUGAUUAGCUAGUUGGUGAGGUAAAGGCUCACCAAGGCGACGAUCAGUAGCUGGUCUGAGAGGACGACCAGCCACACUGGAACUGAGACACGGUCCAGACUCCGUACGGGAGCAGCAGUGGGAAUCUCACAAGUGACGAAGUCUGAUGGAGCAACGCCGCGUGAGUG
This 394-nucleotide ribosomal RNA is filed under the name uncultured Oxalobacteraceae bacterium. RNAcentral's name for it is "bacterial SSU rRNA". It matches the Rfam family "Bacterial small subunit ribosomal RNA", at positions 1 to 407 of the family's 1533-position model. The record is from RNAcentral. Lineage: Bacteria; Pseudomonadati; Pseudomonadota; Betaproteobacteria; Burkholderiales; Oxalobacteraceae.